GGCGAAUAGCGAGACAACGUGUUGCUACCUACGAACUUUCUAUCUAAUUCGUGUCCUCCACUUCCUAUUCAAUGUAAUGUCCUCGGUAAGUUGAAACUACGUCAUGUUUUGUUUAAUCACUUCUCCUCAAUACUUCUUCGGCAUAUGUCUGACUAUCUCUCCUGAAAUCAUCCACAACCAAUCUCUCUCACUUCUGCAUUAAACCAUGCAUCUCCUCUUCACAUAUCUAUAUACCAUUUCAGCCUCACUUCAGUAGAACUCCCACCUUGUCAUAGAGAACAUGAAAUUUAAUAGGAGUAAUUUUCUUUAAAUAAAAUGGGAUCUUAAAUGUUACCAUAUAAUAUUGGGAAUAUUUAUGUGGCUAAAGACUUUAAAACUUGUAAUCUUACAAAUUGGAAUUACUUUCAAUUGCUUCAAGGAAUCAUCUUUUUUGCUAGUCCCAAUCAAGUUAAUAAUAUGCUUUUAAUGUAAUUAAGCAAACAAAAGGUAUAAGUAAAUCUUACUUUGAGGUUUCAAUAUUGAUGCCGCACUCACAUAAUCUUCAAUUUAACUCCGAAUGUAUUUGUUAUCAAGCUAUUUUUGAUGGACGGCGCUUCUAAUAAGAUUUUUUUUUUAAUUUUUAAAAAAUACAAAUGAAACCCUAUCAUAUUUCAUUCCAUCACGACCUAUGUUGGUCACAUUUACAUAAUCAUGAAAAAUGAAAAGAAUAAAGUUUUUCACCACUAAAAAAAGAAGAAAAUAUUCCUAAUUUUGUCCAUGUGAUGUAUUAAUGAAUAGAUUCUAGCUAUAUAAGAAUAUUUGUCUUAUCAAAUUUGGAAAUUAAAAAAAAAAAAAUUCUUUAUUAAAUUAUCUAUACUUCAUUUACAAAUUCUCUAUUUCAUAAAUAAAUGUACUUCACAAUAAACUUACAAAUCACAAUAAUUUGUCAAUUUAAGUACUAUACGAAAGUAUAAUUACAAAAUCUUUACAAAUUUUACAUUUUUUUUCCUUUAAAAACUUGCACACUUCUUUGCAAUGCCACUCUACUCCCAAGAAGAGCUACAAGAUCUCCCAACAAACCUCAUCUACUUUCUUGAAAAAUUGCGUAGACCGACAGAAUAAAUAAUUAUCCAUUUUAUUUAUAAUUCUUAAAAGACGUUGAAAGAGCUACAUGAUCUUUAACAUUCUUACACGCAUCAACACUCUUGAACCGCCGAUCCCUCACUCACACAAUUUUCAUUUUCUACGUCAGCUACAUCCAAACAAACCUCAUCUGCUUUCUUAAAAAAUUACGUGGACCGACAGAAUAGAUAAUUAUCCAUCUUAUUUAUGAUUUUUAAAGACAUUGGAAGAGCUACAUGAUCUCCUAAUAUUUCUACACGUGUCACACUUUUAAACCGUUGAUUCUUCACUCACACCAUUUUCAUUUUCUACACCAGCUACAUCCAAACAAACCUCAUCUACCUUCUUGAAAAAUUGCCUGGACCGACAGAAUAAAUAACUAUUCAUCUUAUUUAUAAUUUUUAAAAAACAUUGAAAGAGUUACAUGAUCUUCUAAUAUUCCUACACGUGUCACACGCUUGAACUGCCGAUCCCUCACUCGCACCAUUUUCAUUUUCUACAUCAACUACAUCCAAACAAAUCUCAUCCACCUUCUUGAGAAACUGUGUGGACCGACAGAAUAAAUAAUUAUCCAUCUUAUUUAUAAUUCUUAAAAGACGUUGAAAGAGCUACAUGAUCUUCUAACAUUCUUACACGCGUCAACAUUCUUGAAUCGCUGAUCCCUUACUCACACAAUUUCCGUUUUCUACGUCAACUCAGGGGUGGCUCAACGCUUUCGAAGAAAAGGCGGCCACCUAAGGCCCCCAAAAUUUGAAGGGCCUCAUUUUUUUUAGUAAUAAUAAAUUACAAAUUUUAAGAAAUAUAUUAAAUACUAUUUAUAGAUUUUUUUUUUAUAUAAAAAAAUUUAGGAGUUUGGUAUAGUAAAAACUUUUUAAUGCGUUGACUAUAUUAUUAAUUAAAAAAAAAUUAUUAAAUACGAUUAUAUAAUUUUAAAAAUAGACUUUCUAAAAAUAAUUAUUUUUUCUUAAAAAUGUAAGGCCUCCGUUUGAUUUUUGCCUUAGAUCACAGAUUUACUUGAGCCGCCCCUGCGUCAACUACAUCCAAACAAACCUCAUCUACUUUCUUAAAAAAUUACGUGGACUGACAGAAUAGAUAAUUAUUCAUCUUAGUUAUGAUUUUUAAAAAAAGUUGAAAGAGCUACAUGAUCUUCUAACAUUCUUACAAGUGUCACACUCCAAAACCGUAAGAUCCCUCACUCACGCCAUUCUCAUUUUCUACAUCAACUACAUGAAUAUAUUAUUAUUUAUAUACAUUAACCCAUUGAAAUGAAUGAUUGUUUUAUUUUCUAUUUCUUUUGCAUUUCUUGGGGAGGAUAAAUGGGGUGAUUCGGGUGAGAUCCAAUGUAGAUCGAACUUUCGAUUCGCUCGUGGGAUCCGAGCGGGGGGAGGGGGGGGGGCACCAUGGCUCCUCUCUUCUCGAGAAUUUAUACAUCCCUUAUUAGUGUAUGGACAGCUAUCUCACGAGCACAGGUUUAGGUUCAGCCUUAAUGGGAAAAUAAAAUGGAGCACCUAACAACGCACCUUCACAGAUCAAGAACUUCGAGAUCACCUCUUUCAUUCUGGGAUGACGGAGGGAUUGUACCAUUCAAGCCAUUUUUUUCUUGACUCGCUUUUCCUUCUUGUUGUUGGAUAUCUUGUUCGUGGCUAUAAUCAUCUUUCUGUUACAUCGCCUCCUUACCAUAUCUAUUGUAGUCCCACAAAAGGAGUUUGGAGAUAGUAAGUUUAUACGCAGAUUUUUCUCCUACCUUACAGACAGUAAACUGUUUUUGAUAAAUUCUUGACUUAGGAAAAAAUAGUUUAGAGUAGUCUAGAAAAAGAAGAAACCGAAGUGUAAGCAUAACAAAACUUUCUUAACAGUAACUAUAACAAAAUCAUACAGAAAUCGAAGAACAAGAAGUAAUAGAUAACAACACUAGGAGCACUAGUAUGGGCGAAUAACGAGUCAACGUAUUACUACUUACUAACUUUCUAUCUAAUUCGUGUCCUCCACUUCCAAGUCAAUGUAAUGUCCUCGAUAAGUUGAAACUACGUCAUGUGUUUUCUGAUCACCUCUCCGCAAUAAUUCUUUGGCAUAUAUCUACCUCUUCGGAAAUCAUCCACAGCUUCCGUAUUAAAACAUGCAUCUCCACUUCACAUAUCCAUACCAUUUCAGCCUCACUUCUAUCUUCUAUCGAAAUUACUCUCAUCUUGUCAUUGAGAACAUGAAAUUUAAUAUGAUUAACUUUCUCUAAAAAAAUUGAGAUUUUAAAUGUUACCAUGUAAUAUUGGGAAUAUUAAUGUGGCUAAAGACUUUAAAAGUUGUGAUUUUAAGAUUGAAUACAUUAAUAACCUCUUAAAUUUUUACUCUCAAUUUCUUGAAUUAUACAUUGCAUGUGUGCUUAGCAAAAUGAGACAAUUAACAAAUUGGAAUUUCUUUCAAUUGCUUCAAGGAAUUAUCUUUUUUGAUAGUCCUAAUCAAGUUUAUUAUAUGCUUUUAAUGUAAUUAAGCAAACAAAAGGUAUAAGUAAACCCUACUUUGAGGUUUCACUAUUGAUGCCACACUUACAUAAUCUUCAAUUUAACUCGAAAUUAAAAGGAGCAUAUGAUACGCUAAAACUUUCUAUGCGCGAAAUGCGAGAAGUUUGUUUUCAUGAAUUCAACCAUGACCGUCAAAUUACAUGACAUUAAUUUUACCAGAUACUCCAAGAUUUUCAUUCAACCAUCUUAGGUAAACUACUCUAAAGAAAUUUCACUUCAAAUAUCGAAAUUUCGUAAAAUUUGAAACUUCAUAACAGUAGCUUAGCUCGAUUAUGCUACUCUUAUAAAAAUAUCCAUGCAUCCCAAUUUAGUAAAAAAAAAAAAACCAUAGACCCCUCCACUUGCAAAUUCUCUAAUUCAUAAAUAUACUUCACAACAAAAUAACAAAUCACAAUAAUCUGUCAAUUUAAGUGCUAUACAAAAGUAUAAUUACAAAAAUCUUUAUAAAUUUUAUAUUUUUUUCCAUAAAAACUUACGCUUCUAUGCAAUGUUACUCAAUUCUCCAAGUUGGAAGAGCUACAUAAUCUCCUAAUAUCCUUACACAUGUCACACUUCAAAAUCAUCGAUCACUCACUCACACCAUACUCCUUUUCUACAUCAACUACAUUCAAACAAAUCUCAUCCACCUUCUUGAAAAAUUGUGUGGACCAACAAAAAGAAUAACUAUUCAUUUUAUUUAUGAUUCUUAAAAAGGUGUUGGAAUAGCUACAUGAUCUUUUAACUUUUCUAGACGUGUCACACUCUAAAACUGU
This 4369-nucleotide long non-coding RNA is filed under the name Capsicum annuum. RNAcentral's name for it is "long non-coding RNA (CANN_LNC016728)". The record is from RNAcentral. Lineage: Eukaryota; Viridiplantae; Streptophyta; Magnoliopsida; Solanales; Solanaceae.